UGAGCGCCAACUAAGUACGGAUGGACCUUCACAACCAUUCCUAAGCUUUGUGUUGCUCGGACCUCAAGUUCCAGUGUCUGUACAUGUUCACUUAACUGGACGGUGGUACGCUCCCUCCUCGUGAGUAAAUCCUGAAGUGUGUUACAGCAGUGCAGUGUUCUCCUGUUGCACAUACUACACCUGGGCUGUGGAUCAAGGAUGGCAUUUGAUCUUCAGAGCUGUGUCUCAUCUACUGUUAACGAAGGCAGGACUGUCUAGGAGAUGAGACGUGAGAAAUAAACACAAGGGAUCACACUGAAACACUGCAAAGGGAUUCUCUUGUGCUACAGCAUCAGCGCAGAAGCUCUGGGAAGAGCCGCCGUGUCAGCGCAUGACAGGAGGCAGAGCCAGAGCUGUUCAGGAAAUCUUUGUGCUGUUUCUUUUAUGCUAAGUUUCUCUACAUUAAAAUGGGGCAGGGGGGAUUACAAGGUGAGUGUAGGAAGAUUAUCAAGUAGUUUUAUAUUUUACCAUCCUCCCCAUCUUUG
Long non-coding RNA from Grus americana (Whooping crane), 524 nucleotides. RefSeq lists it as uncharacterized. The record is from RefSeq and is a predicted model, not a curated record. Lineage: Eukaryota; Metazoa; Chordata; Aves; Gruiformes; Gruidae. The transcript has 3 exons.